RNAcentral lists this ribosomal RNA (453 nucleotides) under uncultured bacterium. RNAcentral's name for it is "bacterial SSU rRNA". It matches the Rfam family "Bacterial small subunit ribosomal RNA", at positions 8 to 507 of the family's 1533-position model. The record is from RNAcentral.
AGAGUUUGAUCAUGGCUCAGAACGAACGCUGGCGGCAUGCCUAACACAUGCAAGUCGAACGAAGCCUUCGGGCUUAGUGGCGCACGGGUGAGUAACGCGUGGGAACGUACCUUUUGGUUCGGAACAACACAGGGAAACUUGUGCUAAUACCGGAUAAGCCCUUACGGGGAAAGAUUUAUCGCCGAAAGAUCGGCCCGCGUCUGAUUAGCUAGUUGGUGAGGUAACGGCUCACCAAGGCGACGAUCAGUAGCUGGUCUGAGAGGAUGAUCAGCCACAUUGGGACUGAGACACGGCCCAAACUCCUACGGGAGGCAGCAGUGGGGAAUAUUGGACAAUGGGCGCAAGCCUGAUCCAGCCAUGCCGCGUGAGUGAUGAAAGCCCUAGGGUUGUAAAGCUCUUUUGUGCGGGAAGAUAAUGACGGUACCGCAAGAAUAAGCCCCGGCUAACUUCGUG